UCUUCUCAACCAAGGUUGGAAGCAAAUUUUCUCUGCCAGAUGCCUUGAGUCCAAAUGACCCUUCUUGGAUGGUGAUUGUGCCUGUGGUCCUUAUAAUCGCUGUGUGCAUCAUCUUUAUUGUGACCUGGAACUUAAAAAAAGGCAAAGGCAUGUGUAAAGAUGAAUCUGGUA
This is a long non-coding RNA of Sarcophilus harrisii (Tasmanian devil), 171 nucleotides long. RefSeq lists it as uncharacterized. The record is from RefSeq and is a predicted model, not a curated record. NCBI's taxonomy places the organism in Eukaryota, Metazoa, Chordata, Mammalia, Dasyuromorphia, Dasyuridae. The transcript has 3 exons.